RNAcentral lists this ribosomal RNA (478 nucleotides) under uncultured bacterium. RNAcentral describes it as "partial 16S ribosomal RNA". It matches the Rfam family "Bacterial small subunit ribosomal RNA", at positions 29 to 507 of the family's 1533-position model. The record is from RNAcentral.
AUGAACGCUGGCGGCGUGCUUAACACAUGCAAGUCGAACGAAGCACUUUAACCUGAUUCUUCGGAUGAAGGUUUUUGUGACUGAGUGGCGGACGGGUGAGUAACGCGUGGGUAACCUGCCCCAUACAGGGGGAUAACAGUUAGAAAUGACUGCUAAUACCGCAUAAGACCACAGAGCCGCAUGGCUCGGUGGGAAAAACUCCGGUGGUAUGAGAUGGACCCGCGUCUGAUUAGGUAGUUGGUGGGGUAACGGCCUACCAAGCCAACGAUCAGUAGCCGACCUGAGAGGGUGACCGGCCACAUUGGGACUGAGACACGGCCCAAACUCCUACGGGAGGCAGCAGUGGGGAAUAUUGCACAAUGGGGGAAACCCUGAUGCAGCGACGCCGCGUGAGCGAAGAAGUAUUUCGGUAUGUAAAGCUCUAUCAGCAGGGAAGAAAAUGACGGUACCUGACUAAGAAGCACCGGCUAAAUACGUG